AGGCCUGGGCAUAUAACAUGAAACAAGAAAGAUAAGGCCCGUGCUUACAUAGAACUUGGUGAAGAAUCUAGACCAUAACAAGCACACAGAGAAAACGUAUCACAAAUUGUGCUAAAGUUCUGUAAAGGGAUUAAGAUGAAGUGUCACAAGACUGAAUUAGACAGAGUGCCCUUGAAAGAGAAUACUGAGUAUGUUCCUGUGUCACCUUAUUUGCCAAUAGUGCCAAUUUUUAGAAUGGAGGGUGUAGAUCCAUCCUUUGCAACUGGUGAGGACCUCCUCAGUAAGGCACUGAGCCAGGAGUCUAUACAGCCAUGCCAGCAGGGAGCACUGUCUUUCAUUGUCUGAUGUUUAUUGCAAACCUGUUCUUUUCAGCUUUUUGUUGUUUCAGCCUAGUCCAAAGACGUUUACAUCCUGGAAGAGAACUUGCUGGCUUUUCACCUCAGCAUGUAUGGGCCAAACUAAUAUAACAAGAAGUCUUGAGAGGAGUCAGCGGCCAAGCUCCAUGUCUUGCAGCCAAACAAUGCUGUGGGAUGGAAGGUGGGAUGUCAUGUGUCUGGUUUACAGCACUCACGUAUCAGUUGGCAGUUAACGGAAG
RNAcentral lists this long non-coding RNA (595 nucleotides) under Homo sapiens (human). RNAcentral describes it as "HSALNT0325434". The record is from RNAcentral. Lineage: Eukaryota; Metazoa; Chordata; Mammalia; Primates; Hominidae.